This is a non-coding RNA of Schistosoma margrebowiei, 45 nucleotides long. The record is from Rfam. NCBI's taxonomy places the organism in Eukaryota, Metazoa, Platyhelminthes, Trematoda, Strigeidida, Schistosomatidae.
GUCCAGCUGACGAAUCCCAAAUAGGACGAAACGCGCGUCCUGGAU